GACGAACGCUGGCGGCGUGCUUAACACAUGCAAGUCGAACGGAAAGGCCCUGCUUUUGUGGGGUGCUCGAGUGGCGAACGGGUGAGUAACACGUGAGUAACCUGCCCUUGACUUUGGGAUAACUUCAGGAAACUGGGGCUAAUACCGGAUAGGAGCUCCUGCUGCAUGGUGGGGGUUGGAAAGUUUCGGCGGUUGGGGAUGGACUCGCGGCUUAUCAGCUUGUUGGUGGGGUAGUGGCUUACCAAGGCUUUGACGGGUAGCCGGCCUGAGAGGGUGACCGGCCACAUUGGGACUGAGAUACGGCCCAGAUUCCUACGGGAGGCAGCAGUGGGGAAUAUUGCACGAUUGGCGGAAGCCUGAUGCAGCAACGCCGCGUGCGGGAUGACGGCCUUCGGGUUGUAAACCGCUUUCGCCUGUGACGAAGCGUGAGUGACGGUAAUGGGUAAAGAAGCACCGGCUAACUACGUG
Molecule: ribosomal RNA, 468 nt
Filed under: uncultured bacterium
Lineage: Bacteria
Description: partial 16S ribosomal RNA
Rfam family: Bacterial small subunit ribosomal RNA
Source: RNAcentral